AUGUUUCUGCCUGCCUGUCAGUGCGAGUGUGUCUGUGUAGCUGUGUGCCUGUGUCUGUCAUUCUGUGUGUGUCUUUCUGUGUUGCUGUCGGUCUGUCUGUGUCUGUCUGUCUGUCUAUGUGUGUGUGUGUGUGUGUUUGUCUGCCUGUCUGUCUGUCUCUCUGUGUGUCUGUCUAAGUGUCUGUCUGUCUGUGUGUAUGUCUGUUUGUCUGUCAGUGUGUCUGUGUGUCUGUCUGUCUGUGUAGCUGUGUGUCUGUUUGUCUGUCUUUCUGUGUGUGUGUUUGUCUGUCUGUCUGUCUGUCUGUCUGUCUGUCUGUCUGUCUGUCUGUCUGUCUGUCUGUCUGUCUGCAUGUCUGUCUGUCUGCCAGUGUGUCUGUCUGCCUGUCUGUGUGUCUGUCUCUUUGUCUUAGUGUCUGUCUGUCUGUCUGUCUGUGUAGCUGUCUGCCUGUCUAUGUGUGUGUGUGUGUGUGUGUGUUUGUUUGUCAGUCUAUGUGUCUGUCUCUCUGUGUCUGUCUGUCUGUCUGUCUGUCUCACAGAGGACUCAGAGACACUGAGGAACCAUAGGACCAAAACCCAAACCCAGGAUACAGAGUGUCAGUGAAGGAGGUACAGACGGUGUGGAUGAGUGUCAGAGAGUCAGAGGAGACUUCAUAGAAGGACAGACGUCCAUCAGGACAGUCCACAUACACUCCUACUCUACCAGAGGAACCACAAGGACAGGAGGUACGUGUGUCUAUGUUAUUGUGUCUGAUGGAGUAAAAACCACUGUAACAGCUCAGACUCCAGGACUGAUUAUUAAAUCCAAACCAACAAUCAUUACUGUAUCCUUUCCUUCUGAUUCCUCUGUAACUCACUGCUAUAUAAACAUCUCCAUUCCUCUCCACCUCCCAGUAACAGCGACCAGUCAGACCAGUACUACACAGACCCUGAUAGUGAUCAAAUCUGUCCUGAUGAUCAGGAUAAAGCUCCUCCUCCUUCACACGUGUCACCAUCCUGUUGUUGUCAGACAGUCUGAGGUUUCUGUUGAUGGAGUUUGUGUCGAGGUGAAUGUGACAGAAAUCUGAUGAGACACAAAGAAACAACAGUUGAUCAUGUGAUGCUUCAUUCUCUCUGUAUCACUGACAUGUUCAUUCACUCAGAGCUUCAUGAGGACACUUUGAAUGAACACACACACACACUUACACUUCCUCACACCAGCUUUGAUCCUCUGCUCUCCUCCAUGGUCCGCCCUGCAGGAGCAAACACAGGCAGUGAUUUACACACCUAAAGAGUCCAAAGUGCUGCUCAGAAACCUGAUGCCAUCUCCAUCAAGCUCUCCAUGUUUCUACUGGUUUGUCUUCAACAGCUUCACCUUCUUCAUCUCCUUCAAAGUGUUCCUCUCUUCAUCCUCACUGAUUGGUUCCACCUCCUCUGAUCUUAACUAUACACUAUUAUAUAUAUGUAUAUAUACACUAUUUGGUCACCUAGGCUGAAAUCCAAUCAGAAUUCAUGUGAUCAUGUGAUCUAACGCAUU
This 1512-nucleotide long non-coding RNA is filed under the name Gouania willdenowi (blunt-snouted clingfish). Its description in RNAcentral is "lncRNA (ENSGWIG00000019252.1)". The record is from RNAcentral. Lineage: Eukaryota; Metazoa; Chordata; Actinopteri; Blenniiformes; Gobiesocidae.